RNAcentral lists this ribosomal RNA (527 nucleotides) under Alcaligenes sp. H3. Its description in RNAcentral is "bacterial SSU rRNA". It matches the Rfam family "Bacterial small subunit ribosomal RNA", at positions 396 to 916 of the family's 1533-position model. Lineage: Bacteria; Pseudomonadati; Pseudomonadota; Betaproteobacteria; Burkholderiales; Alcaligenaceae. The record is from RNAcentral.
CCCGCGUGUAUGAUGAAGGCCUUCGGGUUGUAAAGUACUUUUGGCAGAGAAGAAAAGGUAUCCCCUAAUACGGGAUACUGCUGACGGUAUCUGCAGAAUAAGCACCGGCUAACUACGUGCCAGCAGCCGCGGUAAUACGUAGGGUGCAAGCGUUAAUCGGAAUUACUGGGCGUAAAGCGUGUGUAGGCGGUUCGGAAAGAAAGAUGUGAAAUCCCAGGGCUCAACCUUGGAACUGCAUUUUUAACUGCCGAGCUAGAGUAUGUCAGAGGGGGGUAGAAUUCCACGUGUAGCAGUGAAAUGCGUAGAUAUGUGGAGGAAUACCGAUGGCGAAGGCAGCCCCCUGGGAUAAUACUGACGCUCAGACACGAAAGCGUGGGGAGCAAACAGGAUUAGAUACCCUGGUAGUCCACGCCCUAAACGAUGUCAACUAGCUGUUGGGGCCGUUAGGCCUUAUUAGCGCAGCUAACGCGUGAAGUUGACCGCCUGGGGAGUACGGUCGCAAGAUUAAAACUCAAAUGAAUUGACGG